Molecule: long non-coding RNA, 409 nt
Filed under: Phoenix dactylifera (date palm)
Lineage: Eukaryota; Viridiplantae; Streptophyta; Magnoliopsida; Arecales; Arecaceae
Description: long non-coding RNA (PDAC_LNC019454)
Source: RNAcentral
UUUUAGACAAGUUUUCCAAUGACCGGUUAAGGUUGGCCGAACUAUCUUCUAGGGCUUUCAACCUCCUAUCUUGGUUGUUAUAAUGGGGGGACUCCAUCUCCUUUUAACCCUCUGUUUUAGGACUCUAAAACCUUGAGACAACAGCCCCUCAAACUCCCAAAAAUCAGAACUCAACAAUCUUUAAAACUUGCUGCACAAAAAUUUCUGGGUUGCUGAAAAUUUCUACGGCAGUCCACAAACUUCAGCAGCCAGUUUCACCUUCAAGGCAGACUCAAAUCACCCCACAAAGAGACUUAUAACAGUAACUAAUAACCUCAGAAACUCUCCACAAAAAAUCAGAAUUAAAGUUUCAGAAAACCCUGUUCUUAACACCCCAAACAAACACCUUGUUGCAGAAUUUUUUCUGCAA